GUUUUGAUAUUCUUAAUGGUAAACCCUAGUAUGUGAGGACAGGUUACUAAUUUUAGAGCCAAGCACCUGAUCAACCUACAGGAUUCCCAACUUCUCCAAUAGGAAGGAGUUUUAUCUCAUUUCUCCAUCUACCAGGGAGAAUUAAGUCCAUUUUACCAAUUAAAAAAGAAAAUUGGGACCAUUUCCCCAUUCAUUGAAGAGCAAAAAGUGCACUGCUUGCACUGAUCUCUUUAAACUUGUUAUGGUUCAUCUGUCCUUAUUUAGCAUUUAGACAAUUCAUGAGGAGGAAGAAGCUCAGAUUAGUUAGUAACACAUGUACACUGGCUGUUUGUAUAUACACCAUGCAUAAAUAUCUAAUUCAAAUUCUUUUCAAAGGGCACUGUUAGUUUAUUUUCUUACCUAGAUGAUUGUUUACUCCAGGAUUACACAUAUUUUCCAAAGAGUAAGAACUUAUUAAUCUUUUAAACAAAAUGAGGACAAUUAUUGAUUUUCUGCUACUAUUUUGGGUUUCAUUUUUGGUGUUGCAAAAGCUUUGUAGAUGACACAGAAUCUUUACUUGACAUAAUUGAUACCUUGUAAGAUAAAAGAGUUGAUUUUCUGAAUUGUAAAUAUGGCUGCAGCACAGCCUUUAUGCUGAUAUUAAUACAACGUUACAGUUAUCAAAAUAAAUAAAUAUUGAUUUUCAGCACUUUCAAUAUGCUUACCUUACCAUGAAUGACUUCUUCAA
RNAcentral lists this long non-coding RNA (727 nucleotides) under Solanum tuberosum (potato). RNAcentral's name for it is "long non-coding RNA (STUB_LNC004264)". Lineage: Eukaryota; Viridiplantae; Streptophyta; Magnoliopsida; Solanales; Solanaceae. The record is from RNAcentral.